GACGAACGCUGGCGGCGUGCCUAAUACAUGCAAGUAGAACGCUGAAGGAGGAGCUUGCUUCUCUGGAUGAGUUGCGAACGGGUGAGUAACGCGUAGGUAACCUGCCUGGUAGCGGGGGAUAACUAUUGGAAACGAUAGCUAAUACCGCAUAAGAGUAGAUGUUGCAUGACAUUUGCUUAAAAGGUGCAAUUGCAUCACUACCAGAUGGACCUGCGUUGUAUUAGCUAGUUGGUGAGGUAACGGCUCACCAAGGCGACGAUACAUAGCCGACCUGAGAGGGUGAUCGGCCACACUGGGACUGAGACACGGCCCAGACUCCUACGGGAGGCAGCAGUAGGGAAUCUUCGGCAAUGGACGGAAGUCUGACCGAGCAACGCCGCGUGAGUGAGGAAGGUUUUCGGAUCGUAAAGCUCUGUUGUAAGAGAAGAACGAGUGUGAGAGUGGAAAGUUCACACUGUGACGGUAUCUUACCAGAAAGGGACGGCUAACUACGUGCCAGCAGCCGCGGUAAUACGUAGGUCCCGAGCGUUGUCCGGAUUUAUUGGGCGUAAAGCGAGCGCAGGCGGUUAGAUAAGUCUGAAGUUAAAGGCUGUGGCUUAACCGUAGUACGCUUUGGAAACUGUUUAACUUGAGUGCAAGAGGGGAGAGUGGAAUUCCAUGUGUAGCGGUGAAAUGCGUAGAUAUAUGGAGGAACACCGGUGGCGAAAGCGGCUCUCUGGCUUGUAACUGACGCUGAGGCUCGAAAGCGUGGGGAGCAAACAGG
This 763-nucleotide ribosomal RNA is filed under the name uncultured Streptococcus sp. RNAcentral's name for it is "bacterial SSU rRNA". It matches the Rfam family "Bacterial small subunit ribosomal RNA", at positions 28 to 776 of the family's 1533-position model. Lineage: Bacteria; Bacillati; Bacillota; Bacilli; Lactobacillales; Streptococcaceae. The record is from RNAcentral.